Diachasmimorpha longicaudata is the source of this 5125-nucleotide long non-coding RNA. RefSeq lists it as uncharacterized. Lineage: Eukaryota; Metazoa; Arthropoda; Insecta; Hymenoptera; Braconidae. The record is from RefSeq and is a predicted model, not a curated record. The transcript has 6 exons.
UCCUCUUCCUCGCGAUAAUUAACGGUUGCGCGUGAAAACUAAAACGACCAAGAAUCUGGGAAGGGGUUAGAAGGGGGAGAGUGAACAUGAUCUGGCUGUAAAUGGUAGAAACCGAUUUUUCAUACCGUCUAGAUACAUCGAAAAAGAAAAUUCUGCGUGCACACACGCACAUUGAAAUAAAGAAACAAAUAUAUUGACAGUAAAAAAGAGCAUUUUGAAUUUCUGUUGAACUCCUAGAAUUUUUUUGAAUAAUCAAUUUCAAUUUUUCGCCGUACAGUCGUUGAAUGAAUCGAAGAAGAAAUAAUUCAAUGGAGAUAAUUUCCGUCCAUAAUAACCUCAAAAAAAUAUUGAACAUGAAGAGAUAAAAACAGGUGGAGGCAUAAGAAUGAAAAAGCCUCAUACAUACUUCGGGUUCGCGUGUCGUACGGUCGUAACUUGUCCUCCCGCUUGUCGCGGUGAGGGAAAUCCGGAUGAAUUUACCGGCCCAUACGCACGUGAGGCAGUGGCCCAUACGAGAAAGCCUUUUUUUUAUAAUGAAAAAAAAAAACAGUAAAUUAAUAAAAACCAAGCGCAGAAAUGGAAGGCAAGGAGAGAAGCGAUCUUUACACGCGUUAACGAACAAAUCAUCGCCGGCGUACAUAAAGUUGCCUCAACGGAAUAUCACGACUCCACGAGCAGUGCAAUUUGCAUACAUGCAUACCCAAGUGAGUUAUCUGUUACCCUCGGUCUAAAAAAAAUGAAUUUUAUUCAUUUCCCGUUCUCACUUUGAGUCGCUUACCAAUCCUUAUAAUCUCAUAUUUAUUUUCUCAUUUAUUUUGACGAGGAUGAGCUUGAACUUGCGUCAAAUUUGAGCUUUUCGCGGCCAAAAUGACCUGUUACGGCCCCAGAACAACGCCUUUGCCCGGCGCUUGGCCGACGUUAGCCUGCACCACGCUGUCUGACCCGAAUCGUUCCGUAACUACUGACGACCGUUCGGUAACAGUUUGCGAACCUUAUUAAGGUCAGUCGAAUUCUUCCUCAGUGAUAACAUUAUCGCGAUCGCGGAAAAGCUUGUAACAAGUAGUUGGCGAAUAUUCUCGUCUAUUAUGCACUGCCUUUAUUAGAGAAUAACGCGAGCGUCGACAGACAUCGGAUAUCCAACAAGAGCAUAAGCAAAAAGGAAGGUCGAAUGAAGGGCAAAAGAUGAAUCGCUGGAGAUGUUAUUAUGGAAAAAAUGUGGAAAGAGGUAGAGUUGAGGCUUACGGCGAGGAAGCAAUUAUCUGGCCGUUGGAGUGGAAGAAGGGGUGGUUAUGUUCGACAAUGUAUGAGGAAUAAAGAGACAAGAGAAGAAGGGGUUGAUCGGAAAAACAGAGCUGAGGAUUAUCCAUGAAGCGCAACCUCUUCAGUUACUUCCUCGAUGUUUAUGAGCCAAGUGCCUAUCUUUUAUUUCCAUCUCCCUCGCUCUUUGGUCUUGGUUUAAACGUAUUGCCCAUAGGUAGAGUACUAAAUACACCAUAAACCAAAGACGAUUGCUGGCAAAGAGGUGAGGUUGGUGAAUGUAUGGGUUGAGGAUGGAAGAUUGCCGAGACAAGUAGAUGAGUUUUCAUGGUUUUUGAAAAUAUGGAUAUUGGUAUGGGCUAUUUAUUUAUUGUGUUUAUUCAAUGCCAGUGGUUAGCAAGUUAAUGUGGAGUAAUAAAUGUAUUGGAGUAUUUAUUGAGUGGAUUUUAAUGUUAUGGAUAUUUUAAUUUACAGUAUCAUUAUCUUCGGCAAGAAAUCUCCCUAAUGACUUUGUAUGACACGAGAAUCAAUCAUUAAUAAUUAAAUUUCCGCGCCAGAAGUUUCGAUGAAGUCAGACUUCACCGUAUGGGGAGAAAUUUUAUCUAGAGAAGAGAAUUUCUCAUACCUGGAGAGAAAAUUAAUUUUAAUAUUGUUGUUAAAUUUUGCGAUGAAGACGAGGGAAUGAGAGCAUGAUGCACGCGGUGUGGAUAAAGCUCUCGUGCUGUCGCCAUUUGUCGCGAUAAUUCUCUGCAAGCUCAUCAAGUUCUAAGAAAUUAUCACAUGCAUCACGGAACGUUUAUUCAUAAAUCGACUGUCCUUACCCCGAUGAUAGAUUUAUAAUCAUCAUAAGGACCCGAUAAAAUAGCUCGCAAUAUACUCAUUAAAAUAACCUGCCCAUUAUACUCCCCCCGAGGCCAGAAAAAAAUGCAAAACUGUCCUAUUACUUAUGACACUCAUUGGUAUUGUACAAUCAUUUACUAUAAUACACGCUAAUACAUCUCACACUAUUUCCUAGGGAGCAGUUUAAAGUGGCAAGUUUGCCUUACGGGUAGACUCGCGUGCCGCUGUGAAAACGGAAUAUUAUUAUCACGUGAGUUUAUGCAUCCUGAGCCAGCGAGAAAACAGUUGGUCGAGAAGGGUUGAAGAAGUUGCUCUCCAACUCCAUGUACCUCGAAACUUUUAUUACAGUCUAUAGGGUGUACGAAUGCUGCAUGAAAUGCAGCACGAAGUGAGGAUAGUUUGCGAGUAAAGACUACCCGUCGUUUAUCCACCAAACAGUAUUGUGGGUGAGGCCAGGGGGAGGCCGGGGGGGUGGUGGGGAUGUACGUAAAAGGCAUCGCUCUAUCAAUCACUGAAUAAGGAGAGGAUUAAAGUGGGGAGAGAGCUGCGAUUACUCGAACGAGGAAGCGUGUGUGCACUCGGUGGAUAAUGAAUACGAGAGGUGGAUCAUUUGGAUAGCAUUGUUGGCACGGGCAUCUGUAACCGAUGAUUAUUUCUAACGAAGCCUCAUUGAUUCAACAGUUUGAUAUUUCCAUCCACCAACAAUGAAUUUCCACCGAGGAGUAUUCACCCCAUAUAACGAGGCAUCGUAACAAGUAUGCCAGUACUCCCAUCGCCGAAGAUAGUAUGUACUGAAUAAGUAUAAAGAGGAGCAUACAUACAGAAGAUGAAGGUAGAAUGAAGUAGCCGGUAGAUGAGAGAGAGGCAAAUGGAGUACAGAGGACGCCGACGGGAUACCUCCUUGGCACGCCGUUAAUGGCCAGGGUAAUUAUUGUCUUCGGCCAGGUGGUCCGUUGUUACUUAUUAGUAGCGCAGGAGGUAUACAAUCAAUAGAGUGGGGAGGUUUGAGUGAAAUAAGAAAAAUAACACGUCGAUUUAAUGUUUCACCGAGUAAAUGUUACAUCGAACAAAAGAGAGCCCCCACGAAUCAUGAACAAUUGCUAAUUCAAUCAUAAAGUUUAAUCUAGUUGCCCCCCUUUUUUUUCUCUCUCUCUCUCUCUCAUAUCUCUGGCUAUUUUCUCAUCAUAAAAUUGCCGAUCAUUAUUACAGAUAUUGGAUGGCUAACGACUGCACAGUUGCUCGCGGUUGAACUGCAUUCUAACCGAUCGAGGAGAGGAAGGUUGGAUAAAAAUUUUAAAAGCGCGAACUAACGUACCCGGACGCCUUGUGCACAGUUUCCUAUCCUUGGGAUUCUCGUAAACAUGCCACUGCAUUGCCGGCAAUGUCGCGGCUUGUAUUUCACGCCGAACAGCAGAAUAGGAAUACUUGGCCUUUUAUUUCUGUCUCCUCCUUGAAGCUGGAAAGAAAAAUGGCGGGAAGUGUUCUAGAGAGACGUAUUCUCACGUAUUUCUCUGGAUGACGGUUGAGGACUGAAGCCAAUAAAUCGAGCCUAUAUGAACCCUGCAGGAAGAUCUCAUUUGCAUGAAGCUGAAGGACUUUUAAAUCCACUCUUGAGGGGCGAGAUGGGGUGAGACUGCGUCUCCUGCAACAAAUGGAAUCUUAGACGAAAAAUCAUAACCGAGAGACUUUCCCAUAGGGAAUUGUAGAAAUGCCCCCAGCAGAGGGAUCAAGACAGUUAUAAUCCCGACAGCCAUGAAGAAUGGUAAUACGAUAUAAUUCGAGGCGUAAAUAUCGACAUACACCUCGAUGAUUCUCGCUUUUAAGCUGGGUCCGAGGUGGACAAGACAAUGUCAUUGCACGAUAGCGAAUGACCAGUGGCGUCUUCCCACGGUACAGGAGUAAAAGUGGACAGGGCGACCGACACAAAUACGUAACACACAUGUACGAAGGAUGUGGACCGGUAAUGGUUGAAGGCAUCAUCACCUUGCGGCAACGGCGUACAAGGGUCUCAGUGGGUCAGAAGAGGCUCGAGGUCCUGCCCCGGAAACCCUUGCAUCAAAGGUCGAAAGUUUGACAUGCCGACUAACAGGAGGAACUCGGAUUACAACCGACAAUAAAUCUGAAGUCCCAAGUGUUGUAGGCGAACACUCCACUGGGGCGAGCCGACGUAUCCAGGCUUGGCAUACAGUGAUGUGUGGGCGAAUGUACACCCGGCUAACUUUGCCCAAGACCCUGGCCCACCUGAGGACCGAGAUCACUUCAGCACCUGAUCGCUUUUCUCAGCCCGAGACCAUUAAUUUUUCAUCAAUUUUUCAUGGAAUGUUCUCAAUAUCUUAAAAAUAUCAACAUUUGUCUCAAUUUUUUCCUGAAAAUGGUCUUUUUCCUUUCCGCCAAUAUAUCAACAAUUUUUUAACCCCCAUUCCCUGUUAAACAAUCCAUUAUUAUUCCCUCCCUCCAAGUUGGCAAGAAAUUACAAACCCAUUAUUCCAAAUGUCAGUGCAGAUUCUUCAACGUCUCCAUGAAUAAUUGAUAAAUAAAAGCGUGCUGAGUUUCUCGCCUAACAAUUCCCUGGCAGCAAUGAAUUCCAAGUUCAUUAUCCCCCUUGAUUAACAAUUAAAAUGAGAAAUGCCAUUUCACCCCCUGAAUUUCUUCAUGCAAUUCCUAAAAUUUCCAUCAAAUGAACCCAUUCACUUUCCCAACAUCACUCCCCAUAAUUUUUUUUCCCCUCAGCAUUCCAUCCAACAUAGUCAUCGUCCUCCACCGAGAAUAUCAGCUGAAGAAGACUCGUUGAAAAAUAAAAGGAUAACAACAAGAAGUUCCAGAAGUGGAAGGUGAACGCGACAACGCAGUAACGACCGGCGUCCUGUACACAGCGCGAUGAUCUAUCUCUAUCCAGAUUUGGUGACUCCAAGACGUUCAUCUUUCUCCUAUUCAUCCCCUCUCCUGCUACUCGGUUAAUCCACCUAUUGGAAUAUAUUUUGCCUCGUAUUUGAAAGCCAGCGUGAGGGUCAAACGAUAUCACCUGGUA